ACCUGCUGACGAGUCCCAAAUAGGACGAAACUCGCGUCCUGGAU
This 44-nucleotide non-coding RNA is filed under the name Schistosoma mansoni. Lineage: Eukaryota; Metazoa; Platyhelminthes; Trematoda; Strigeidida; Schistosomatidae. The record is from RNAcentral.